AAGGUCCCUAAAUGUAAGUUAAGUGGUAAAGGAUGUGGGAUUGCACAGACAACCAGGAUGUUGGCUUAGAAGCAGCAACUCAUUCAAAGAGUGCGUAAUAGCUCACUGGUCGAGUGAUCCUGCGCCGAAGAUUUCCGGGGCUAAAACUUACUACCGAAGCUACGGCAUCAGUAAUGAUGGGUAGGGGAGCUUCCCAUACGGGUUGAAGCAUGACCGUAAGGACAUGUGGACAGUAUGGGAGCGAGAAUGUUGGCAUGAGUUGCGAGAUGUGGGUGGGAAUCCCACAGGCCGUAAACCCAAGGUUUCCAGGGGAAGGUUCGUCCGCCCUAGGUUAGUCGGGACCUACGCUGGGGCCGGAAGGCGUAGGUGAUGGACAACAGGUUGAUAUUCCUGUACUACCGAU
RNAcentral lists this ribosomal RNA (403 nucleotides) under Clostridioides difficile. RNAcentral describes it as "bacterial LSU rRNA". It matches the Rfam family "Bacterial large subunit ribosomal RNA", at positions 1041 to 1451 of the family's 2925-position model. The record is from RNAcentral. Lineage: Bacteria; Bacillati; Bacillota; Clostridia; Peptostreptococcales; Peptostreptococcaceae.